GACACCUAGAGAGAAGCACAGAAGGGCCUGAGGAGGAACGCCACGACUCGCUUCAGCCGUCGGUGGUUCUGGGUGCGGGUCCCGUGGUGAGGCGGGGCGGUGCUCGGCGCACCUGGAGCGCAAUCGGCCACGGCGGCAGGCAGGCUGGGUUUCCUAGCCAGUAACUGCAGGGGUUUGGUGCCUCACCCCAGACAGUCGCCAGCUGCUUAACCCUGGGCACGAUACCUGAGCUCUCCGAGCUUUCAGCCUCUAUGGGGAGGGUAACACAGCAUCUACCCCGUGAGUUUACGGGGAGGAUUGAGUGAAGCAUUCAAGCUCUUGGCCCAGCCUUUAAAGUAAUCCUAAGCAUCCAACAAAGGAAAGCUUCUGUGAUUUUACCGCUUGGUUAGAGCAUUUUUGGCAGAAUAUUUGUUCUCAGGGCGUCAAACUAAGGGACAGAACAGGUAUUAGAUACAAUUCCUACUCUCAAAGAAUUUAUAGUGUUUAGCUAGGGGUUUAAGACGCAGACUUGGCUGGGCAUGGUGGCUCAUGCCUGUAAUCCCAGCCCUUUGGGAGGCUGAGGCAGGAGGAUCAUUUGAGGCCAGGAGUUCGAGGCUGCAGUGAACUAUGAUUGUGUUGCUGUACUCCAGCUUUGGUGACGGAGCAAGACCCUGUCUCAGGAAGAAAAACAAAAAGGACAUAAAAGGCACAGACUAAUGAGAAGAUGGCUCAUGACAGUUCAAGAUGCGGUAUAAGCCAGAGUUCCAGGCCACCGCUUUGAGAUUUCCUCGUUUCCCUGGGUAUCUCUCAUGUAUAGGCGAUGAAUGAGAUGACGGAUGAAGCAGCACUGAGCCUAUCGCCUGGCGCUCCAUAGGUGCUCGGUAAACAUAGUGAUCGCUAUUCUCAUGAAACACGUUGCUCCCUCGUCCUGAACAACAGAGCAAUGCCCUUUUUGCUGGCUCACUCCACCUGAGCAUCAUCGCCUCUGGAAAGGCAUCCCUGGGCCCUCCUAGUGGAUCAAGGUGCCCCUCUGCCUCCACAUGGCCUCUUACAGCACCCACCACAGUGUUUCAGGACCACCCCCUACCUGUCAGUCUCUUCUUCUGGACUAUGGAGGCUCUGAGGGAAAAGACAAUGUCUUAUUUUGUCAGUAAGCAGCACCGUUUCCCGCUAAAUGCUCAAAAUGUGCCUGGAGGGAAUGACUCAACUUUGAAAGCCGUCACUACCGAAUUCUACAGCCUGUCUUCAGUACGUUUCUUCCAGUUUUAUUUUUUAAAAGUUACCUGUCCUGGGAGCAGUGGUAGGAGAUAUGGGUCGUUCAGAUGGGGUGGACCCAGAAAGGGCUGUGCUAGUGGGAGGUGUUGGGAAGCUGUGCUCCGUACUCCCCGCGGUGACUGUGAGCACUGGGCUUUUCUCCACGGUGGCUGGGCUGAGCUCCAGGCUUGCUGGAGGAGGACUAUGGGAAGGCAUUAGAACCUAAGAGAUCAAUUACAAAGAUAAAUAGUUACAAAACAACAACAACAACAGUUCAAUUCUUCCAGCAACUCAGUGUUACCAACCUUUUUCAUAAAUCAGCUUCAGUCAUGUUUGAAAUGCCAUGAAUAAUAUUCCAAAACUCUCAAGUACACUCUUUGCCGUCUAUUAGAAAUAUAAGGCAACUCUGGGUUGGACGAUUAGUUCAGGUAAACACACAAACACUCAAAAUAAAGAAUGAGAGGGUACUUACAGAAGCCCCUAAACUAAUCAGUUCACCGGACGAAUGUUUCUGCCCCACACCUCCCCCCACACCCCACAGAUUCAUUUCUUGAAAUCUGAACCCUCCAUGUUGUAGUAUUUGGAGGUGAGGCCUUUGAGAAGCAAUGAGAUUAUGAGGGUAAAUCCUUCAUAAAUGGGACUAGUGCCCGUCUAAGAAGAGGAGAGACAGCUAGCUAGUUCUCUUUCCACCAUGUCAGGACACAGCAAAAAGAUGACUAUCCACAAACCAAGAAACCCUCACAAGAACCCAACGCUGCUGGCGUCCUGAUCUCAGACCUCCAAACGUUAGGACUGUGAGUUACACACAGUUAGGCCACCGAGGUCAUGGUUGAUAUGGCUAGGUUUUGUGCCCUCACCCAAAUCUCAUCUUGAAUUAUAAUCCCCAUGUGUCAAGGAAGAGACCAGAUGGAGGAAACUGGAACAUGGAGAUGGUUUCCUCCAUGCUGUUCUUGCGAUAGUGAGUUCUCACGAGAUCUGGUGGUUUUAUAAGCAUCUGCAAUGUCCCUGCUUGCUCUCUCUCACCUGCUGCCAUGACUGCAAGUUCCCUGAGUCCUCCCAAGCCAUCCAGAACUGUGCGUCAAUUACAACCCUUUCCUUUGUAAAUCACCUAGUCUUGGGUGUGUCUUCAUAGCAGUGUGAGAAUGGACUAAUUCAAUGUAUUUCACUGCAGCAGCACAAGCUAAGACAACCCCUAAAGCCACAAGUGAAGACAAUCAAAUAGUUCAACAGUCAACAGGCUGCUAGAGUAAAUCAUCUUUAUUCAUUUUAUCCAUUACGUAUAACCAACAACUUACAGGUACAGAGUUAGUCAAGUUAAAGUUUUUUAAUUAAAUAGUGUGUGCCAGGGGGAAAAUUCGCAUCAUGUGAUAAUAAAAUACCUUGUGAGACUUAGAGUCAGUAACUGUGUGGAGCCAGGUAAGUAAAAUUCCUAGAUAAGAGUACAGAAGACCCACCGAGGUCAUGCACGUGAGAAACCCACAGAAAGCAAAGCUGUAAUCCAAAUGGAAAUCAGAGAGGGGGCAUCGGUGCUAACUGAACGACACUCCUCUUGUCUACAGUUGAGAAGAGGGAGGAAGGAUACAGCAUAAAUUUUGUGCUUGGAGGUGUGAUCCCUGGUGUCGCCACUAAUGGUAACUGAGCUCCCACUGGGUUCCAGAUAUUUACUGGGCAACUGGUGAAACCUUCUGCGACUGAAGCUCCAGAACCAAGGCGGAAAAAAAAGAUGAAAUAAUGAAAUUAAGCUGUCUGAUCAAACUACGAGAAACCAGCUGACCUGCAUGUUAAAGUCAGGUAGUGGGUCCACGAUGCCAUUUUAAGAUGUUUGAUGUAACUGAGUUUUCAGGCAUCUGGCUUUGUGAAGUGAGUGCUAUGGAUUAAGCUGUGACGCUCUAAGAAUAGUAUGAAAUUUGGAGUUACUACAAACCAGGGCCGCAGAAUAAUGUAUGCACAGCAUUUUAGACUGGGCACUCUGCAAAUCCCAGGGGAUAAACCAAGGGGUUUUUUUGGUUUGUUUUUUUGUUUUUAGUUUUAUGAAGUCCUGAAAAAUUACUGCCAAGCUGAACUAAGGAAUGAAGGCAGACAGUGAUCAGAGAAAUUAAGGUACCUUGGGUCGAGGCCACUAAGCCAGAAAUGGCCGAGGGGGAAGAAAACCCUUGUCCUGCUCUUCUCUACGACAUUCACUUCUCCAGCAUGCUGUGUCUGCAGGCAGGAAUCAGAUGCCAGUUCUUC
Callithrix jacchus (white-tufted-ear marmoset) is the source of this 3462-nucleotide long non-coding RNA. RefSeq lists it as uncharacterized. The record is from RefSeq and is a predicted model, not a curated record. NCBI's taxonomy places the organism in Eukaryota, Metazoa, Chordata, Mammalia, Primates, Cebidae.